AGAUCAUUGUGGGGACAAUUCAUUAUUAACCCUUUAUAUUGUUCCCAUGCCUCAUACAAAGACUCCCCUACUUUUUGCUCGAAAUUAGCUAUGGAUUUUUUAAGUUU
Lactuca sativa (garden lettuce) is the source of this 107-nucleotide small nucleolar RNA. The record is from RefSeq and is a predicted model, not a curated record. NCBI's taxonomy places the organism in Eukaryota, Viridiplantae, Streptophyta, Magnoliopsida, Asterales, Asteraceae.